AGCUCCAAUAGCGUAUAUUAAAGUUGUUGCAGUUAAAAAGCUCGUAGUUGGAUCUCGGACUCGGGCGGGCGGUCCGCCUCGCGGCGGCUACUGCCCGACCCCCGAGUCUACCUGCCGGCGUUUCCCUUGGUGCUCUUGACUGAGUGUCUCGGGGAGCCGGGACGUUUACUUUGAAAAAAUUAGAGUGUUCAAGGCAGGCCGCAGACGCCUGAAUAAUGGUGCAUGGAAUAAUGGAAUAGGACCCCGGUUCUAUUUUGCUGGUUUCCGGAACUCGAGGUAAUGAUUGAGAGGGACGGACGGGGGCAUUCGUAUUACGGUGUUAGAGGUGAAAUUCUUGGAUCAUCGUAAGACGGACUACUGCGAAAGCAUUUGCCAAGAACGUUUUCA
This 387-nucleotide ribosomal RNA is filed under the name marine Metazoa environmental sample. RNAcentral describes it as "SSU rRNA". It matches the Rfam family "Eukaryotic small subunit ribosomal RNA", at positions 587 to 972 of the family's 1831-position model. Lineage: Eukaryota; Metazoa. The record is from RNAcentral.